AGAGUUUGAUCCUGGCUCAGGACGAACGCUGGCGGCGUGCUUAACACAUGCAAGUCGAGCGGAAAGGCCCUUCGGGGUACUCGAGCGGCGAACGGGUGAGUAACACGUGAGCAACCUGCCCUUGACUUUGGGAUAAGCCUAGGAAACUGGGUCUAAUACCGGAUAUGACCCCUGGUCGCAUGACUCGGGGGUGGAAAGUUUUUCGGUUGGGGAUGGGCUCGCGGCCUAUCAGCUUGUUGGUGGGGUGAUGGCCUACCAAGGCGACGACGGGUAGCCGGCCUGAGAGGGUGACCGGCCACACUGGGACUGAGACACGGCCCAGACUCCUACGGGAGGCAGCAGUGGGGAAUAUUGCGCAAUGGGCGGAAGCCUGACGCAGCGACGCCGCGUGGGGGAUGAAGGCCUUCGGGUUGUAAACCUCUUUCAGCACCGACGAAUUCAGACGGUAGGUGCAGAAGAAGCGCCGGCUAACUACGUGCCAGCAGCCGCGGUAAUACGUAGGGCGCAAGCGUUGUCCGGAAUUAUUGGGCGUAAAGAGCUCGUAGGCGGUUUGUCGCGUCGAGUGUG
Molecule: ribosomal RNA, 567 nt
Filed under: uncultured bacterium
Lineage: Bacteria
Description: bacterial SSU rRNA
Rfam family: Bacterial small subunit ribosomal RNA
Source: RNAcentral